This 356-nucleotide ribosomal RNA is filed under the name uncultured bacterium. RNAcentral's name for it is "bacterial SSU rRNA". It matches the Rfam family "Bacterial small subunit ribosomal RNA", at positions 1 to 334 of the family's 1533-position model. The record is from RNAcentral.
CUACGUAGCUCAGAGUUUGAUCCUGGCUCAGGAUGAACGCUGGCGGCGUGCCUAACACAUGCAAGUCGAACGAAGCACUUAUAUUUGAUCCUUCGGGUGACAACAUUUGUGACUGAGUGGCGGACGGGUGAGUAACGCGUGGGUAACCUGCCCUGUACAGGGGGAUAACAGCCAGAAAUGGCUGCUAAUACCGCAUAAGCGCACGAUGGUAGCAUUACCAGGUGUGAAAAACUCCGGUGGUACAGGAUGGGCCCGCGUCUGAUUAGCUUGUUGGCGGGGUAAAGGCCCACCAAGGCGACGAUCAGUAGCCGGUCUGAGAGGAUGAACGGCCACAUUGGAACUGAGACACGGUCCAA